CCAUCCUCCAAGGCUAAAUACUCCUGACUGACCGAUAGUGAACCAGUACCGUGAGGGAAAGGCGAAAAGAACCCCGGCGAGGGGAGGGAAAAAGAACCUGAAACCGUGUACGUACAAGCAGUGGGAGCACCUUCGGGUGUGACUGCGUACCUUUUGUAUAAUGGGUCAGCGACUUAUAUUCUGUAGCAAGGUUAACCGUAUAGGGGAGCCGCAGGGAAACCGAGUCUUAACUGGGCGUUAAGUUGCAGGGUAUAGACCCGAAACCCGGUGAUCUAGCCAUGGGCAGGUUGAAGGUUGGGUAACACUAACUGGAGGACCGAACCGACUAAUGUUGAAAAAUUAGCGGAUGACUUGUGGCUGGGGGUGAAAGGCCAAUCAAACCGGGAGAUAGCUGGUUCUCCCCGAAAGCUAUUUAGGUAGCGCCUC
Molecule: ribosomal RNA, 426 nt
Filed under: Klebsiella pneumoniae
Lineage: Bacteria; Pseudomonadati; Pseudomonadota; Gammaproteobacteria; Enterobacterales; Enterobacteriaceae
Description: partial 23S ribosomal RNA
Rfam family: Bacterial large subunit ribosomal RNA
Source: RNAcentral